UACGUAGGGUGCGAGCGUUAAUCGGAAUUACUGGGCGUAAAGGGAGCGUAGGCGGGUUAUCAAGUUGGGGGUGAAAGCCCGGGGCUCAACCUCGGAAUUGCCUUCAAAACUGAUAGCCUAGAGUAUGAUAGAGGUAUGUGGAACUCCGAGUGUAGAGGUGAAAUUCGUAGAUAUUCGGAAGAACACCAGUGGCGAAGGCGACAUACUGGGUCAUGACUGACGCUGAGGCUCGAAAGCGUGGGGAGCAAACAGG
This 253-nucleotide ribosomal RNA is filed under the name uncultured bacterium. Its description in RNAcentral is "partial 16S ribosomal RNA". It matches the Rfam family "Bacterial small subunit ribosomal RNA", at positions 524 to 776 of the family's 1533-position model. The record is from RNAcentral.